RNAcentral lists this ribosomal RNA (524 nucleotides) under uncultured bacterium. RNAcentral describes it as "partial 16S ribosomal RNA". It matches the Rfam family "Bacterial small subunit ribosomal RNA", at positions 28 to 523 of the family's 1533-position model. The record is from RNAcentral.
GACGAACGCUGGCGGCGUGCCUAAUACAUGCAAGUCGAGCGCAGGAAAUCGACGGAACCCUUCGGGGGGAAGUCGACGGAAUGAGCGGCGGACGGGUGAGUAACACGUAAAGAACCUGCCCUCAGGCCUGGGAUAACCACGAGAAAUCGGGGCUAAUACCGGAUGGGUCAUCGGACCGCAUGGUCCGAGGAUGAAGGGCGCUUCGGCGUCGCCUGGGGAUGGCUUUGCGGUGCAUUAGCUAGUUGGUGGGGUAAUGGCCUACCAAGGCGACGAUGCAUGGCGGACCUGAGGGGGUGAUCGGCCACACUGGGAAGGAGACACGAGCCAGAAUCCUACGGGAGGCAGCAGUAGGGAAUCUUCCACAAUGGACGAAAGUCUGAUGGAGCAACGCCGCGUGAACGAUGAAGGCCUUCGGGUCGUAAAGUUCUGUUGUAAGGGAAGAACAAGUGCCGCAGGCAAUGGCGGCACCUUGACGGUACCUUGCGAGAAAGCCACGGCUAACUACGUGCCAGCCGCCGCUGUAA